Molecule: long non-coding RNA, 652 nt
Organism: Ochotona princeps (American pika)
Lineage: Eukaryota; Metazoa; Chordata; Mammalia; Lagomorpha; Ochotonidae
Exons: 4
Source: RefSeq, a predicted model, not a curated record
GUUGCUAGGUAGUCCAGCACUUCCGCUGCUCUUGGAUGCUUCUGGAAAACCCGAGUGUGUUGACGUUGGAGUGCCUCAGACGUGCCGCGCUUUGAUGACGGCAACGUUUCUCCCGCCUCCCCGGCGUUUCGACGACGGUGGCGGCAGCUGCGGUGUGUGGAAGGCGUGGAUAGGCGGCCACGGCGGUGUCUGGAUGACAUUCUGGACACCAGCUUAGUGGCCUGCCCUGGACUCUCCGCCUAACUCACUGCGAUGGACACUAGUCCGUUCCGGUUUCUGUGCCGUCUUCUGGAGGUGGUGUUUGGAUGCAAGAUGCAGUGUCCGAUGCAUUUUUAUUCUCAGGCCUUCAGAGAAUGUGAAGUUAGCCACUAGAAGGGAACGUACACUCCAUCUCUACGUUGGAGACCAUCUAGUGAGCAGAGAGCCUGUGUGCUCUGCAGCAGGGCUACAGGUCGGCUGACAGGCAGGUGCACGUGGCAACCGAGAACUCCAGCUCCCAGAAGUGGACCCAACGUGAGCCGCGUGACUCUCGUGUGAUCCACCGUCAUCCACGGCCAGCUCGAGUCCAGGAAGCUCAGGGAGAGGAGGAGAGCACCUACCAGCUGUGAGUCCUGAGGGGUCCUCCGGGGGUCAAGCCGUGGAGCAGUGGGCA